CCUACGGGAGGCAGCAGUGGGGAAUAUUGCACAAUGGGGGAAACCCUGAUGCAGCGACGCCGCGUGAGUGAAGAAGUAAUUCUUUAUGUAAAGCUCUAUCAGCAGGGAAGAAAAUGACGGUACCUGAGUAAGAAGCCCCGGCUAACUACGUGCCAGCAGCCGCGGUAAUACGUAGGGGGCAAGCGUUAUCCGGAUUUACUGGGUGUAAAGGGAGCGUAGACGGCAGUGCAAGUCUGGAGUGAAAGGCGGGGGCUCAACCCCCGGACUGCUCUGGAAACUGUACGGCUGGAGUGCAGGAGAGGUAAGUGGAAUUCCUAGUGUAGCGGUGAAAUGCGUAGAUAUUAGGAGGAACACCAGUGGCGAAGGCGGCUUACUGGACUGUAACUGACGUUGAGGCUCGAAAGCGUGGGGAGCAAACAGGAUCAGAUACCCGGGUAGUC
RNAcentral lists this ribosomal RNA (440 nucleotides) under uncultured bacterium. RNAcentral's name for it is "partial 16S ribosomal RNA". It matches the Rfam family "Bacterial small subunit ribosomal RNA", at positions 338 to 795 of the family's 1533-position model. The record is from RNAcentral.